UUUGAAACUCAUCGCCUCCGCCCCGCUUGUCCUUGUUUUUCUUUUAUUUCUCAUAUGUCCCACUCACAUAUGGGUCCAUUCUGACAAUCAGGCUUUCUUUUACUUCUCAUAUGUCCCACCGACAUAUGGGUCCAUUGUAACAAUCGGUCUUUCUUUAGUUUCUUAUAUGUUCCACCGACAUAUGGGUCCAUUCUAACAAUUGGGCUUUCUUUAAUUUCUUAUAUGCUCCACUGACAUAUGGGUCAUUUCUCAUAUGUCCCACUGACAUAUGGGUCCAUUCUGACAAUCGAGCUUUCUUUUAUUUCUCAUAUGUUUCACUGACAAUCAGGCUGCACAUAUGUCAUCCGGCAGAAAUACGAGAUACUAAUGUAACAUGUACAGUUAGGAUUGGCGUUCCAAUCUCAAGGACCAUAUUAACCACGUACUUUCGUGUACUGAGACUGUGUUGAAGGAAUGAGACUGUAUUGAAGCAAUAUACACGUUUCAACAUCAAAUUGGAUGUCGCCAAUGAGUACGACGACCAUAGAUGCAGUUAUCUCACUUUUUUCUCAAUCCUGUGUGCCACUAAUUCUUUUUGUUUUCAGCACACAUCUUGUUUGACAUCAUCUUCACAUGAGGGACCCACAUAAUGGCUAAGUCAACAAAAAUAUUAAGCGCAUUUUCAAUGUAAAUCACCAAAUCUCUGCUCUCAAAUAUCCAUGGCUACGUCUGGACGUGUCUGCGGACAUUUGGUGGACGCCCGUCAGCCAACUGUGAUCAACAAAUAUGCCUCCAUUUUAAAUGGUGUGAAAACGAAAUACAGCCAAGAAUAAAUAAAGUAUGUCAUAUUACAUGCAAGCCAACCAAAUUUAACACGUAUAACUUAAAUGAAACUUAAACUAAACCAAAACUAAUCUACAUGAGCCUAGGUAGCGGAUGGUGACCUCGCAGGCAUGGUAUCCAAGGCCAUCGGCGCCACUGUGGUUUGCGUUGAGACAUCGUUCCGCCACUUGAGGUAGUUUAUUAUCUCACAACCUAUUGAAGUAAUAGAGCACCUUAACUAUUGGGCAACAAUAGAGCACCUUAUUUAUUAUCUCAUAUUUUAUUGAAUAAACUAGAGUACAGUAUAUUAAAGUAGUUAUAUGUUAAAGUAUUAAUUGAUGACAAUGACAUAUUUUACCAACAAGCUAACCAACAAACCGUUGAAAAUGUCUUAGGACAGCUUUGCCCCAUAGAGACAUUUUUUUGUCUCCAAGGAGGAUGACACGCGUUCAAGCCACCCCCUUGGAGGUAGUAAUCAGCGUAGUACUGUUUCGGCCGGGACGAAGACCGCUCUUUGAGGACGGCCACCAAACGCUAUUGGGUAUCAUGGUGGUGAGGAUGGCUGCACGCAAAUACUAAGGCUGCAUAGAGGCGGCAUUGGCUAUUCCUUGAGAGGUGUCUGAUAUGGACAACGUUGUCGCACGAGGGGACCCUUGUGCCAAACUGUGGUCAAUCAACAAGCAACGCAAUACGAUCUCCAUGUGUCAUGCAAACUUGUCAGCCGACACCGCCGCUAGGGCGAAUUCUCCUCCUCCUUGUCCCAGACCGGCACUUCAUUCAUGUCGGACAAGGCUUUGGACAAAGACGGCCCGACGAUAAUACUCGGUUGCGCAAAGUGGAUCCGGGGUCCUGGUACGGCACAUGCUGGUCAGGGCGAUAGUCGUCGAACAACCAUCACGUCUAGGUCUUCUUGGUGCCGGUCUCGUUGCCAAUUGUGUUGGUUGGUGAUGGGGGCG
This 1757-nucleotide long non-coding RNA is filed under the name Hordeum vulgare. RNAcentral's name for it is "long non-coding RNA (HVUL_LNC008119)". Lineage: Eukaryota; Viridiplantae; Streptophyta; Magnoliopsida; Poales; Poaceae. The record is from RNAcentral.